AACGAACGCUGGCGGCGUACCUAACACAUGCAAGUCGAACGAGAAAUUCCGAUUCGUCGGGAAAGUAAAGUGGCGAACGGGUGAGUAAUAUGAGGGUAAUCUACCUUUGAAUUAGGGAUAACUUUGCGAAAGCGAAGAUAAUACCUGAUAAGACUACAGUCUCUUAGGAGACAGUAGGAAAAGGUGGCCUCUGUCUCAUGCUAUCGUUUAUGGAUGAGCCCUCAUACUAUUAGCUUGUUGGUGAGGUAAUGGCUCACCAAGGCUACGAUGGUUAGCUGGUCUGAGAGGAUGAUCAGCCACACUGGUACUGAGACACGGACCAGACUCCUACGGGAGGCAGCAGUGAGGAAUAUUGGUCAAUGGGGGGAACCCUGAACCAACCAUGCCGCGUGCAGGAAGACGGCCUUCUGGGUUGUAAACUGCUUUUAUGCGGGAGCAAAAAGGUCCUGCGGGACAAAUUGAGAGUACCGUAUGAAUAAGCACCGCUAAC
Molecule: ribosomal RNA, 490 nt
Filed under: uncultured bacterium
Lineage: Bacteria
Description: bacterial SSU rRNA
Rfam family: Bacterial small subunit ribosomal RNA
Source: RNAcentral